This 492-nucleotide ribosomal RNA is filed under the name Triticum aestivum (bread wheat). RNAcentral's name for it is "partial small subunit ribosomal RNA". The record is from RNAcentral. Lineage: Eukaryota; Viridiplantae; Streptophyta; Magnoliopsida; Poales; Poaceae.
AUGAGGGCGAGCCUCUCGGAGAGCGCCCUGACGUGCUGCUGGUACUCCAUGGCCUGCGUCAUGGCCUCCGCCUCCAGCUCGCCGAGCUGCACGCACAGCCGCUCCUCGGCCUCCUCCGCCACGGCCACCCGCGCCAGCGCCGCCUCCAGCUCCCGCUGCAGCCGCUCCUCCCGCGCCUCCGCCUCCGCCACGGCCCUCGCGAGCUCGGAGCUCUUGCCGUCCAUGGCCGCUGCCGCUGCCUUCCUCGCCAUGCCUCCUGACUUCUCGGGGGUGAGUGGGGGAGUAUACGUAAUAGCACUAUGCACAGACGUGUUUACGAGUUCGCUGGGAUCUGGAUCUCUCUUGAUCAGGUUGUGGCGCCUUUUAUAUAGGCCGGGCCGCUCGGGCCGGCUGCCGCCGCGGAGGGAAAGCGGGAAUGUGUCCAGGUUCAAUGAACCAAUCGGGCACGUUAGGUGUCGGCGUACGCCUACAGAGCUGCUACAUAUAAGGUGA